Molecule: ribosomal RNA, 216 nt
Filed under: Glomeromycotina sp.
Lineage: Eukaryota; Fungi; Glomeromycota
Description: partial small subunit ribosomal RNA
Rfam family: Eukaryotic small subunit ribosomal RNA (bases 40-216)
Source: RNAcentral
GGGUCAGUAGGUUGGUCGUGCCACCGGUACGUACUGGUCUCACUGAUUCCUCCUUCCUGAAGAACCGUAAUGCCAUUAAUUUGGUGUUGCGGGGAAACAGGACUGUUACUUUGAAAAAAUUAGAGUGUUUAAAGCAAGCUAACGCUUGAAUACAUUAGCAUGGAAUAAUGAAAUAGGACGAUCGGUCCUAUUUUAUUGGUUUCUAGGAUUGACGUA